GACGUAGGUGGCAAGCGUUAUCCGGAAUCACUGGGUGUAAAACGUGGGUAGGUGGUAUAGCAAGUCAAAUGUGAAAUACUAUGGCUCAACCGGAGGGCUGCCUGUGAAACUGCUUUACUAGAGUAGAGGAGAGGUGGAAGGAAUUCCCGGAGUACCGGUGAAAUGGGUAGAUAUAGGGAGGAACACCAGUGGCGAAAGCGGUUUACUGGCACCUAACUGACACUGAGGGACGAAAGCUUGGGGAGCAAACAGG
Molecule: ribosomal RNA, 253 nt
Filed under: uncultured bacterium
Lineage: Bacteria
Description: partial 16S ribosomal RNA
Rfam family: Bacterial small subunit ribosomal RNA
Source: RNAcentral